UUUUGUAUGAAGGCUGCGGUGGAAAUGAUAAUAAUUUUCCUUCUAUGGAAGCCUGCUUAAGCCACUGCAAAACCAAAAUGACGGAUUAUGAAAUAAAAUUUUUUCAACGUUUAAAAAAGAAACCAAAUUGCACUAGUACUUAUGAGAAUGGUCCUGUAAUUAGUAUAUCUUCAACGAAACAUCAAAAGAAUGCCAAAGAACAGGCGUUAAGAACGGAGAUGACCAGUUUCCAUCGUUUCGAAAGUGCGUGAAUGAUUGUAGUCCAAAAACCAAAUGGAACCCUUAUUGCAACUAUACCAGAGAUAACG
This is a long non-coding RNA of Rhipicephalus sanguineus (brown dog tick), 308 nucleotides long. RefSeq lists it as uncharacterized. The transcript has 4 exons. Lineage: Eukaryota; Metazoa; Arthropoda; Arachnida; Ixodida; Ixodidae. The record is from RefSeq and is a predicted model, not a curated record.